ACGGCAACACCCUGAUCUAUACUUCUACUUACUUCUUUGUAGAACGCAAUCAAGUUAGUUUGACAUGACCUGUGCUUCAUAAAACCGUACUGAUUUUUGCGGAUAACCAUGUUCUUCUCAAGUAAUUCUUGAAUAUUAUCCCUUAAUAACCUUUCAAAUAUUUUACCAGCCACAGAAGUUAAGCUCAUAGGUCUAUAAUUUCCAGGCAAGGAUUUUUAACCCUUUUUGGAGGCCUUCCUCCAAUCCUUGGGAACACUUCCUGAAAGAAAAGAAUCUUGAAAGAUUAAAAACAGAGGUUCACCUAUUUCUACACUAAGUUCCUUAAGUACACGUGGAUGGAUACCAUCAGUCGCUGGAGCUUUGUUUAUAUUAACUUUCUUUAGUUGCUGCAGCACCUUUUCUUGAGUUAACCAAUUACAAUUAUUCUGCAAGUUUUUAGUAGCAAUCAUUUGCACAUCUAUUGCCAUGGGUUCUUCCUUAAUAUAUACGGAGGAGUUGUUUUAGGUUAUUUUUUUAGAACAAUGUAUGCUUUCUUUCUUUCUUUCUUAAAGCUUAUAUUCUUUCUUUUGAGUACUAGUUACCAGUAACUAUCGGCUCCCUGUUUCUGAUCCCAAGGUGAGGUGGUUGCACUCUAGUGAGAAGAUGUGAUAGGAAAUUAGGUCCUAAGGCAGAUGAUCAAGGACUCAGUUGUGUUUUCGUGAAACUAUAUUUCAUAUAAAAGCACAAUUUGAGAUAUUAAAGGGUUACUUCAAGGAAUCUUUUCAUUGAUUUAAAGUAGUCAUGGUGCCUGGAGUCAGUAUGUGCAGCAUUUCACUUUGUCAGCUAAGGGGUUAAUGUCUGUAUGUGCAUUGUUUCAAAGUGAAGUUCUGCUCUGGCUAUUAUCAAUUCUGUGCAAAAUUGGCAUCAGGCGCCACAAAGGCAGUACGGCAUCCCCCUGCGUGUCGCGCAUGUAAGUAUAUACAUUUUUUUUUUUUACAUUUGGAUGUGUGACCACCACAGAAGAGCUACUCUAACCAAAACCAGUGUUUUAUGAAAAAACUGUUUUUGGUUGGAGUAACCCUUUCAUAAGUAAAAAGAAAGAGUGUAGGCUUUAUCUGUUUUGCAUUUAUUGCAGUGUUGGUGAAUGCAGACAGGUACUUUGCAGAGAGAUAUAGUAAAACAUACCCGGACUAACCUUAAUUUCAGUUCCAGCUUUUUUACAUUUAUAAGAUUUGAUGCGUGACAUUUAAGUGGAGAAUUAGGUUUAACAAUCAUUGUCACUGCAAUAUAUUGUCAAAAUUUCCUUAUUACAAAAUUACUGCCGACAUGCAAUAGCUGCUGCUAUCAAAUAUAAAAUCAAAAGCACUUGCACAAAUCUGAGACCACAAUUCCUUAGCCACAAAUACUUAUCCGUAAGCCAUGAUUCCCAUGGAUUUAUACACUUUCUGGAACAUUUUGGUCUUCUAGGUGUGAAUAACCUAUGUGUAUGUGCAUGAUGGGCACUGAUUUUGUAAAAAAAUAAAUAAAGAUGAUUUGGGAACUGGGUGGGUCUCACAUUGUGAUGCCUAGCUUCGAAUAGUUGAAUGAAAGCUUUUACCCUCUACCUUCACUGCAUUUUGAUAAUGACCCUGUAUCUGCUUUCUUUUUUGGCCAGUAUUGGUGAUUAUUUGAAAUUUGAGCUACAACCCAGGGCUGUUCUUUUAUUUCUUCUGGGUUAUGGUGCUAGAUUACAAUACACUUUAAUGCUGCUAGAAUUUAGUGCUUUCAAUAUAUAAAUAUAUUCUGAUUUAUUUUAUAUAGUGCAUUUCACUGCCAUUGCAUCUUAUUGAUUUGUGGAUUCAGUGCGACAGACUUUAUUCUUACAAUUGUCCUGGCUUCACUAUCCCCCAUUCAACUUGGUUUAGUGUUCCAUUUAUAUAUUGUUUUUUUUCCGUGAAUUAAGCUAUUCGCACGUUUGUAAGCUACUGGAUGAUCUACAGAGUCUCUCUUAGAAAAUUACGAGAGACCAUGUAUUUUAGGCCUUGAUAACUGAUCUUGUGAUUUAUUGUUUAAAAGACCCCAAGUGUGUGUUUUGUACUUUUUUUUUUUUUUUGAUGAAGCUAUUCACAGUAACGUGUGAUCUUGGGUCGAAGCACUUGAUUUUCAAGCUGUGAUAUUUUUAUGGCUCGGAGCUAGUUUUUCAGAUGAUAAAAUUAUGUUAUAUCUGUUUUCUCCUUGCGCUUUACAGAUGCACAAUUUGUAAGAGCAAUUUUACCAUAAUAGUUUUUGUUUUGCUCAACGGCAAAAAGAAGAAUCUGCCAUUUUAGAACGUAAAAUUAAUGGGGUAUAUUUGGACAGAUUAAUUGAAAUUAUAUGUCCAAUACAGAGCGUACAACCUAUCGGACACAGUUAAAGGGAACCUAUAGUCUUGAAAAUAACAAUCAUUAUAUCGUGGCUAUAUUUUCCCUUCUGUCCACUCUCCUAAAGUUUAAGGGAGAUUACUUACCUUGUUUACGGCGGCGGGACUCCUUUGCCACAGCCCACCACUCCGCUACGCAUCACCAAUGAAAUACUGUUAGCAGCAUUUGAUUCUCAGACUGAGUCAGGAAGACAGCCACUAGAGGUGGAUUACAGCCUGCAGUGUAAACGGUUUAAAAAAAAAAAAAAAGAGGACCACUGCAUGCAGACCACUUCAUCUGAAUGAAGUUGUCUAGGUUACUGUAGUGUUCCUGUAAUUUUCUUAGAUGUACAUCUUGGCACAGGGACAUAAAAUGUUACCUCCUUUAUUCUAAUCCCAUCAUCAUCAUCACGAGAUAUACAUUGUUUCUUGUUAUUGGACAGCCAUUUCCAAUCAAUAGCAGAAUGCUAUUCAGUUACCAGAGAUGUGUGUUUUUUUGUAAUAGAAUCAAACCCUUACGUGAAAAGCACAUUUUCCCUGAAUUAUUUUUAAGUGGAAUAUCCAGUUGUUAAAUAGUGUGUGUGUUUUUUGCGUCUUGUAUCCUCCAGUCAUUUUGUUUUACCUAUUAUCUGAACAAACAUUUGGCCGAGUUAAGAAUUUAAGUGCCUUGCAUUUGGAAAUACUGUGCAAUUCUUUAGGUGUUAGGUCCAUGCUGCCAACAUUUAUUAAAAACGAGUUAUUCAAGGUCAUUAACAGACCUUUGCCUUCACUGUACAAGUUGUUUUUUCUUUUUUUUUAACCUGUGAGAGACACAAACGUGUAUUAAACAUGGCCGCUAGUAGGUUGAUACUGUAUUAACCAGGGGUGCCCAAAAGGUAGAUUCCCAGAUGUUUUAAAACUACAACUUCCACGGUACUUUGUCAUUCUAAAGGCAUGCAAAGCAUCGUGGGAGGUGUAGUUCUACAACAUCUGGAGAUCUACAUUUUGUCCACCCCUGGUCUAAACUAAAGUUAUGAGAAGGAACUAAAUCUCAGACGAAGUAUAGUUUUAAACUGUUUAGUGAAUUAACCCUCAAAGAAUAGCUAGGCACGUGAGAUCCCCAGAUGGAGAAUUCAAGAGUGAAUUUCAAAUUUAAGGUCAAAGUAGCCAAACUGUUUGUCAGUUUGACUACUUUGGCCUUAACUUUGAAAUUCACUUUGAAAUCUCAACUUAGUAAAUAACCCUGUUGUUGCUUUGUCUAAAAAUACAAUUUCUCUAAAGGAGAAACAAAGUAGUUUUGUUUUUUAAAUAAAUGUUGGAAUGUAAUGGGAUAUUACAGGCUGGAGUUAGCCUCAAUACAUUUAAAAUUGCUAUAAUAAUAAUACAUAAAAGCUAUAAUACUGAUUUGACCCUUAAAGUAACACACCAGGCUUGGUUUGACUCAUUUGUAAUGGUUUAAUGGGUUAUAGAAAGCGCAUUUACAAGAAACACGUAAAGACAAUCAAAUAAAAAAUUAUAAGCAAAGAUACUCACAUUUAAAGUUUCUGCAUUUACUGGAAGUCUCCAAGCUUUGCAGCAUCUGCAGUAAGCACUAAUUAAUCCAUGAAGUGACUACUGCUCACUUACCUAUUUAUAGAAUGUCUAGUUUAUCUCAGAAUCCGUGUUUAAUCGCAACUCCAAGUAACCUAAGUUAUAUCAUGUUUAUCUGUAUUUUUGGAUCAAAUAGGUAAACACAGCAGGUUGGAGGGAAGGACAGAAAGGAUUUGUUUGUGAAGCUUUUUAAAUAAGCUAAGUAAUAAUUUAAAUAAAAACCUGCAUUACGCACUGUAAACAUUGCACCUAAUUUGUUUUGGUGUCUGGAGUGUCUCUUUAAUUUUCCUUUAUUGUCUAAAAUUGCAAUGACCAAGAAAUAGUUAAAAAAAAAGUAUUAGUCAGUCCUGGUCUUCCUAUUGUUCUCACUGUAAGCAGCGCACUCUGUAUAUCCUGUAGAACUCUACCCAACAAGACUUUAAGGGAUAUAUGCCCAGCACACUCCAGUAGUUCCAUUUAUGAAAAUACAUGGAUGAAACUACACUGCAAUAAUCUGCAGCUCGACCUCCAGUAUCAACCCAUAGUUUAGCCAGUUUGUUUUUAAUGAGUGAAACUAUCACAUGACAAAGCAGGCAUACUAACAGAAAGCUAAUAGAAUUAGUAAAGGUUUGUUACGGGUAACGACAUCACACUGUGGCCUUAUGGCUGCAAUAUAUUUGAAGCAAAACAAGAAGGGGAGCUAUAACUUGUGCAAGGUGGUUAUGGUGCUUUGAGUAUCCCGUUAGUUAUCAUGCUAUGUUAAUCUUACAAUUGACAGUCAAAUAUGUCUCUUUACGUACUGACUGAACAUGUCUCAUACAAAAUCAGUUUAAAAAAUCCAGCAAAAGAUCACUAUAUUCCAGCCCCCCCACCCCCUUAAUUUAAAUGAAGGCGGGUAUUUUCAAAACAUAAUGGUUUAUGAUUUUAAAUUAGGAAUGUGAAUGUCAAUGAAAGGUCUUCUUUAAUGGUAAAAAAAAAAAAGAAGUGUACUUUGUAAUGGUACGGAUAAAACCGUUCUCGUAAACAGAUAAUGGCAUUAAUCAAAACAAAGUAAGUUAAGAUAUUUUGUUUUGUUUUUGUUUUUAAAGCAAGGCCUCGCUCAACUAACUAAUCCGGCUCAGUUGUUAAAUGUUUAUCGGCAGAUUGGCAGCAUGAUUGUAAUAUUUUGUAACAACCAGCAGAGGUCUCAAUAACACCAACUAUUUAGAAAGAAUUUAUGCUGCUGAUAAGAGCUCUGAUGGUGUUAAACUGUUAGGGAUAUCCACUAAACUGUGAAUUGGAGACAUUUAACAAGGAAAUUGCUUGUUUUGUGGCCAAAAUGGAAAAAUUGGUUGGAGAGUUAGAGAUUUAUUUUCUAAUCUGGCCUAACAUUUAACGUACUCUUGUCAUUUUUCAGCAAUUCUCAGAUUGUUGUGAUUUUGUUUAGUGAUCUACCAAACGGCUGAGCGUAAUGACCAUUUUAGUUCAAGAUAAUCUACAGAUUAUCUAUAGAGCUGUAAUUUUUUUAAACUCAUAGGAAGCUGUAAACAUAAAUGGGCAAGGUGUGAUCUUAAAUGAUUUUGAUAUAAAUUUUGCAGUUCGGUUAGAGAGAGACACUUUUAAUGCUCAGAAUUACUCACUCGGUUACUCUAAAGUGAGGAUUCAAAGUGGAUUUCAAAUUUCAGGCCGGAGUAGCCAAACUGAAAGCAUUGCUGACGUAGAGAUUUUUUGGCAAUUUAUAACUUACAUUUUAAAUUCACUUUGAAUUCUCACUUUGGUUAGUAGCCCUGUCAGUGUUGCAUCUGCCGCUGUUAAUUUACAAUCCAUUUUGUGCUUAUGCGAUAUCCCUGUUUUCCAUAUAGCUCUACAGUAUCAUUUUUUUGUGAAUUACAGAUGCCUAACCAAAGCAGAAUGCUUUUUUUUAAACAAACACCCUCUAAAAAAAAUGCCAAAUUACAUUUUUAAGUAGAAUAUUCUAAACUGCAUAACUGUUCUAUUUAAUUCAUCAUAGCUCUGUGUCUGUGUAUCACAACAUAUCCAAUUAUUUUUCAUAGGGCAUGAUUGGAAAAUAUCGAGCAUCACUCUCAGCCAGCAGUCGGUUGCCUUAAUGAUUCCACCCAGUCUCCUUGUUAAUACAUAAUGUUUCUCAAACAUAUCUCAAUAUAUGCCAUGUCACCAUUCACAGAUUGGGCCAGAAAAUGUAUAAAAAUAAAACAAUGAGAAUCAAAAAAUUAUCCCCUAUUGUAAGAGAGUGAAACAGGCCACAGUGCAUUUUUAGGGAGAAACGGGUGCAGGAUUAGGAGCAGGGGUGAUCUGAUUCAGUAUUUUAGGGCAUAGUAUACAUGAACAUGUAAUCCCCACUUACCUGUGUGAAAUACAUGAUAAAACGCUAAUAGCCAAGGUUGUCUGUUGUGUAAAAAUGGCUCAUUCAGUGCUUAGCAAUUCUGAGCAGUUGAAAUGGUCCAGAUUACUAACUUUGGCAACAGCAGCCCUUGCAUCAGGACUAUGCUGUUUAUUGAGUUAGACAAGUCGAACAAUCCCUUUGCAUUGAGUCUGAUUGUACCAUAAAUUACAGGAUUUUAGAGGAUGGUAUUUCCUUGAUGUUGUGUAUGAGGAAAGAACAAUUAACUACACUUCAUUUAUUGAUGCCCCCUCGCCAUGUCUGGCCUACAAUGCCUGUCAUGGCCAAUGUUGAUGGAAGUUGUAGUUUAACACUCAUCCUGCAAUUUGGGACAGGAUGAGGGAAUAUGAAGACACAUGGACAGCUUUAAGGAAUGUUGCCAUUCUUAUUGACUGUACCUGUGUUACAAUGUUUUUUGGUUUUCACUAGAACAUUGCUGCUUCCACCAUGGUUAGAGACCGUGCCUGAUGGACUCAGAGAUCCUGCUUUUUGGGGCAUUCAGCGAUCUCUGCACUGCCAUUGGUGCUGGAGAUCCAUUUACGUCCAUACAGCCAGUGCGGUAUAUAGUCCUGUUGCAUGGCUUCAAUUCACAGUAAAUGGGGACGUGCAGAGCUCUGUAACUUGAAAAGAGUCCCCAGCAUGGAAGAGACAGCAAUAAAAUAUAUAUAUGAUCAUUACCUCUAUUUCACUAAAUGGGACUAAUGGUUUUUUUAGAGCUUUAUAUUUAAUAAUUUUUAUACGUUAUACCAACUUUCGUUAGUCUGGUCAUGAAUAGUGCUGCCUUUUAGUAUGUAGCAUUCAUGUAGCGCCAGAUUUAAAUCCAUUAACUAAUCAAAGCAAUACCUUUGGUAUUUCUCUUUGAAUAUUGAGUUGAUUUCCUUCCUUCACUCUUCAUGUGCUACCCAACAGCGUGAAGACCUGUAAUUUGUACAAAAAAACAUGGUGGACUUAGAAACUCUAUUUGCGACUCAUGACCCUUAAGCACCUUCAAAAAGUCAUUGAUUCCACAGCAAUGAGAGGUCCCCCCAUUUUUUAAAAACAUUUUCUGAACUUUUAUAGUACUGUUCAUUGAUCUGACCUCUGACCUGCCUCGCACUGCUCAAUACUGUAUAGAAUACACCACAAACACUGCAUAAUAGUAUGUUUAGCUAUGUAUUAAUGUGUUACUAUCACACUGUUCUGGUCUAUUGUUGUUUCUUUGCAGGCCUAUGCUUUGUAGUCCCUGUGUGAUUUCACUAGUACACUGGACACAAAUCAAGCUGUUUUGGUAUAAUAGUAUUUACACCAAACUCUCUGUCUUUUUAUUUUUUAUUUUGUUUUGUUAUAAUAAAUAUCCCUGUAAUGGAAAAAAAAAAAAAUUGUUAAUUAAACAUUUUAGUUUACGAAUGGAGGCUGCGUGUAUGUUUUUCAGGACUCUGCUAGUUUAUUGCCCUCUGGAAUCAUUGUUGGUGUUGUGUAACAUGCUGGUAUGAUGUACCUCCACCUCCUGCGCCUUAUAUUGUCUCAAGAUCCAUGUGUGGUUUUUCUUCAUAAAAGACCUACAAGUUCUAUGAAAGGAACUGUGGGGAAUUUAAAAAUGAAUUUCAUAUUUUAAACCAAAAUGCCAAAAAUGUUCUUUUUUUUAGCUUCAAUGUUUUGAGUAACACAAAUUCCCUUGC
This 7942-nucleotide long non-coding RNA is filed under the name Pelobates cultripes (western spadefoot toad). The record is from RNAcentral. Lineage: Eukaryota; Metazoa; Chordata; Amphibia; Anura; Pelobatidae.